Molecule: ribosomal RNA, 1347 nt
Filed under: uncultured bacterium
Lineage: Bacteria
Description: bacterial SSU rRNA
Rfam family: Bacterial small subunit ribosomal RNA
Source: RNAcentral
GACGAACGUUGGCGGCGUGCUUAACACAUGCAAGUCGAACGGAAAGGCCCUGCUUUUGUGGGGUGCUCGAGUGGCGAACGGGUGAGUAACACGUGAGUAACCUGCCCUUGACUUUGGGAUAACUUCAGGAAACUGGGGCUAAUACCGGAUAGGAGCUCCUGCUGCAUGGUGGGGGUUGGAAAGUUUCGGCGGUUGGGGAUGGACUCGCGGCUUAUCAGCUUGUUGGUGGGGUAGUGGCUUACCAAGGCUUUGACGGGUAGCCGGCCUGAGAGGGUGACCGGCCACAUUGGGACUGAGAUACGGCCCAGACUCCUACGGGAGGCAGCAGUGGGGAAUAUUGCACAAUGGGCGGAAGCCUGAUGCAGCAACGCCGCGUGCGGGAUGACGGCCUUCGGGUUGUAAACCGCUUUCGCCUGUGACGAAGCGUGAGUGACGGUAAUGGGUAAAGAAGCACCGGCUAACUACGUGCCAGCAGCCGCGGUGAUACGUAGGGUGCGAGCGUUGUCCGGAUUUAUUGGGCGUAAAGGGCUCGUAGGUGGUUGAUCGCGUCGGAAGUGUAAUCUUGGGGCUUAACCCCUGAGCGUGCUUUCGAUACGGGUUGACUUGAGGAAGGUAGGGGAGAAUGGAAUUCCUGGUGGAGCGGUGGAAUGCGCAGAUAUCAGGAGGAACACCAGUGGCGAAGGCGGUUCUCUGGGCCUUUCCUGACGCUGAGGAGCGAAAGCGUGGGGAGCGAACAGGCUUAGAUACCCUGGUAGUCCACGCUGUAAACGGUGGGUACUAGGUGUGGGGUCCAUUCCACGGGUUCCGUGCCGUAGCUAACGCUUUAAGUACCCCGCCUGGGGAGUACGGCCGCAAGGCUAAAACUCAAAGGAAUUGACGGGGCCCCGCACAAGCGGCGGAGCAUGCGGAUUAAUUCGAUGCAACGCGUAGAACCUUACCUGGGUUUGACAUGGAUCGGGAGUGCUCAGAGAUGGGUGUGCCUCUUUUGGGGUCGGUUCACAGGUGGUGCAUGCCUGUCGUCAGCUCGUGUCGUGAGAUGUUGGGUUAAGUCCCGCAACGAGCGCAACCCUUGUUCACUGUUGCCAGCACGUUAUGGUGGGGACUCAGUGGAGACCGCCGGGGUCAACUCGGAGGAAGGUGGGGAUGACGUCAAGUCCUCAUGCCCCUUAUGUCCAGGGCUUCACGCAUGCUACAAUGGCUGGUACAGAGAGUGGCGAGCCUGUGAGGGUGAGCGAAUCUCGGAAAGCCGGUCUCAGUUCGGAUUGGGGUCUGCAACUCGACCUCAUGAAGUCGGAGUCGCUAGUAAUCGCAGAUCAGCAACGCUGCGGUGAAUACGUUCCCGGGGCU